RNAcentral lists this small nucleolar RNA (69 nucleotides) under Drosophila persimilis. RNAcentral's name for it is "snoRNA:GL27899". The record is from RNAcentral. Lineage: Eukaryota; Metazoa; Arthropoda; Insecta; Diptera; Drosophilidae. RNAcentral also lists the same sequence under 1 other name.
CCCAAGGCGAUGGGCGGACUGAAUGCGACCGUACAAUUGCUCUCACCAUGUAGAGAAAGCCUUACAGAU